CAGUAGCCGCGGUAAUACGAAGGGGGCUAGCGUUGCUCGGAAUGACUGGGCGUAAAGGGCGCGUAGGCGGAUGGCACAGUCAGAUGUGAAAUUCCCGGGCUUAACCCGGGGGCUGCAUUUGAUACGUGUUGUCUAGAGUGAGGAAGAGGGUCGUGGAAUUCCCAGUGUAGAGGUGAAAUUCGUAGAUAUUGGGAAGAACACCGGUGGCGAAGGCGGCGACCUGGUCCUUUACUGACGCUGAGGCGCGAAAGCGUGGGGAGCAAACAGGAUUAGAUACCCCCGUAGUCCCUGUCUCUUAUAC
This 301-nucleotide ribosomal RNA is filed under the name uncultured bacterium. RNAcentral's name for it is "partial 16S ribosomal RNA". It matches the Rfam family "Bacterial small subunit ribosomal RNA", at positions 509 to 807 of the family's 1533-position model. The record is from RNAcentral.